This 587-nucleotide long non-coding RNA is filed under the name Homo sapiens (human). RNAcentral's name for it is "HSALNT0327781". The record is from RNAcentral. Lineage: Eukaryota; Metazoa; Chordata; Mammalia; Primates; Hominidae.
GUGAAGGUUAGGCUAAGAAGUGUGAUGAGCUUUAUUUAGGUAAUAGGCAAUGAGGAGAAAUUGAAACAUGAAGGAACAUAAUUUGAGGUGUGAUUAUUUGAGUUUUUAAAAUAUUAUCACUGUGCAUCAGAAUGGGUUAGGGAAGGCUUAAAUCCUGGAUGCUGGCUCAGCACCUAUUAGAGCAAUUAAAAUGAGAAAUGAUGCAGACUAAACUAGAAUUUCAGGUAAAAAUGGGAAAAAUAGGCGUUAAAAAAUGGUAUAAACGUUAAAAAACUACACUUGACUGAGUUAGAAUAUGGAGGAAAAGGAAGUAUGGAGAUCAAAAGAAAACAUCAGGAUUUGGGAGCUUGGACACAGGGGAAUGACAACGUAAAGGGAUUAUUUCAAAGAUAAUUUGGCAUAGACACUUCUAGACUCUCCUCUUCAUCUGUGUGUGGAAUACGAACUAUUUUAGUGACUACACAAACACAGAUAUAAACUUUUACCCUCUACAAUAUUUAAAUCCCUUAAAGAGUGGCAUAUCCCUGAUUAGGACUGUCCCUUCUGCCUGAGUUCUGGACUGAAAAGCCCCGAGGAGCAGAGCUCUA